Molecule: ribosomal RNA, 159 nt
Filed under: uncultured bacterium
Lineage: Bacteria
Description: partial 16S rRNA
Rfam family: Bacterial small subunit ribosomal RNA
Source: RNAcentral
UCGAGAAUUUUUCACAAUGGGCGCAAGCCUGAUGGAGCGACGCCGCGUGGGGGAUGAAGGGUUUCGAUCCGUAAACCCCUGUCAUUUGCGAACAAACCUUGUUUGCUAACACCAGACAAGCUGAUUGUAGCGGAAGAGGAAGGGACGGCUAACUCUGUG